UUUUAAAUAGUUUAUAUAAAACAUAAUAUUGAAGAUAUUAAAAAGAAAUACUAAUCUUUAAAAU
This 64-nucleotide transfer RNA is filed under the name Ibalia leucospoides. RNAcentral describes it as "tRNA-Phe". The record is from RNAcentral. Lineage: Eukaryota; Metazoa; Arthropoda; Insecta; Hymenoptera; Ibaliidae.